This 1482-nucleotide long non-coding RNA is filed under the name Gadus morhua (Atlantic cod). RNAcentral describes it as "lncRNA (ENSGMOG00000022695.1)". The record is from RNAcentral. Lineage: Eukaryota; Metazoa; Chordata; Actinopteri; Gadiformes; Gadidae.
GCGCAUCGGCGCAGAGGUAGAACGAUUAGCAGGGGCGGACUGGCCAUCGGGAAUACCGGGGACAUCCCCGGUGGGCCGAUGGCCGAAAAUAUAAUCCCACCGGCCCAUCAUUAUCAUGUACCAGCCCAUCAUCGCAUCAGCCGAAAUGAUUAACACAGCGGCACAAGCGUAAUUUUCUCCAAGAGCUAUACCUAUCUUAAUCGCACUGACUGACUGACUGACUGAGUUUUAUACUGCUACUCGCAAUCGGUCUUCACACUCAUGGUGACUAUUUUUCGAUUUUUUUUUAAGUGUCUUCUAAUAUGUGUUUUACAGACUUCGGAAGUCCAAAGUAAGAAAAGAUCUCCACCUUAUUAAUAAACACCUCUAAAUUGGUUCUUACACAGCCGAAGUGUUCUCAACUGUGCGGAUUGAGGUAGAGAAUUUGGAUUUGCAUACAUACACGCAACGCGGCACCCAGUUCUACGCAUGCGCUCAUGAGGCCCAGUGAUGCUGGUGGCGAUACGAUACAACGACCUACGGUACACACCCAGUCGGAUGAACUCUACCCAUUACUGUGAUGGACGUGGAGUAUACUUUUUUUGUUAAUAAAUAACACCUUUUGGAAGUGUAUAGUGCAUCCACUCUCACUGAUUGCUAUUAACUCAUUGCAUGUGGAAAAUAGUUGCACAGUUGGAGUCAGGCUUUUAGCUAGGAUUUUUUGUACAGCACUUGAUCGUUUUUAGGUAAUAUUGCAAUUACACUGAUUUAUUUAUAUGUUUAGUAAUUUAAUACAUAAUAACAGUGAGUGUAACUGAAACUAGGUAACAAGGUACAAAAUUCAAGUAACAACUUUAACAAAAAGAAACAACUUUCUACACAACUUUAAAGUGUAUGAUGUAUAUUGUAUUGUAUUGAAUUUAGAUUAAUUAAGACCACCACCUUAACACACAAACUCUUGUUGAACUCAUAAAGUAGUAGGUUCAGUGACGUGCGGUGAGACAGCUGUCUUCUGUAGCUUCUGCGAGCCCGUGAAUCAAUGUUUCGUUGGAAUCAUGAUGUAACGUUGUUGUAGCGGGAAUACAGCAAUGCUAUUUUCUAAUUGGCAGGGCAUAUGUAUGAUUCUAGACUUCGCUAAGCACUGAAGCGACUGAAACGGUGAAUUUUGAUCACAUUCAGCGAAGUUAACAGGUAAAACGGGAGAAAAAUAGGGCGUCUUUAGGCCGUCCUGCCUAAAAGUAGGGCAUCCCAUUUCUUCUUAUUUUUUAGUAGACUAUAGGGCAGACGCCCUGCUAGCUAAAAGCCUGGUUGGUGUAGACAUUCGAGAGACCAAAAAGACUGAAAAGGUGUGUUAUCGAAUUUAGUGGGCCGGUCUGGUUCAAAAUGCCCGGGCCGAUUUUUUGUCCCAGUCCGCCCCUGACGAUUAGCUUGAGUGGCAAAAGCUUCAAGAUUAAAGGAGAAGCAUGCAAUAGAAGAACGUAAACAAAUGUUAAGGAAAAAAAG